This 588-nucleotide long non-coding RNA is filed under the name Canis lupus familiaris (dog). RNAcentral's name for it is "lncRNA (ENSCAFG00040010385.1)". The record is from RNAcentral. Lineage: Eukaryota; Metazoa; Chordata; Mammalia; Carnivora; Canidae.
GCCAUGAGUCACCAGCCAUCUUGCCAUAUGGACAUAAUUUUCUGAAUAUCUUAUAUAUUUUCAAGACUUUAUGACAACAGUAUCUUAUUGUAGAAUAAAAUAUAAGAUUUAAAAAGAAAAUGUUUUCCCCAUUAAAUAUGCUAGAAAUAACUUUUAACAGAAUUUUUAAUGAAGCAGGAGCUUCAUACAGAAUCCAAUGGAGGAACUGGAAAAUCAUCAUGAAAGAUAAUCAAUAGAGGACAAGAUUCAUAUUUUCUUUCCCAAAGUAUAAUGCAGGUAUGAGGUAUCUUUUAAGAUCAUUCUGUGUCAAAUUCCACUUGAUAGGGAAAAUGAUCUGACUAGGAUUAAUGGUGCCAGUCUCCUCUGUGCAUUCAUGUUAUAUUUUGAAGUAGAGAGCUUUUUAUGUCUGCUGUUGAAUUUAUAUGGCAAAAUUUAAUAUUCACUUAAUGUGCUAUACUUUCCAAAAACCAAUACUCUGACUGUUAACAUUCUACCAGCAAAUAAAAAUAUAAAGAGCAAUCGAUUAUAUCAAAUAAUUAGGGCUAUUUGUAAAGACCAAAGAUGAAAGCCUAAGUUUAAAUGAGUGGU